UCCUGACGAGUGUUUGUCCAGGAAGGAAUUUAUGACAAGUUUGUUAAGAAAGUAGUCGCAAAGGCGAAAGCAAAGGUGGUUGGUGACCCUUUUGAUCCAAAUGUUCAACAGGGACCCUAAGCUAGCAGAAAUCAGUAUGAGAAGAUACUUUCAUAUAUAGAGCAUAGGAAGAGGGAGGGUGCUACAUUGCUAACUGGUGGUAAGCCACUGGACAGAAAAGGCUAUUUCAUCCAGCCAACUAUAUUUACAGAUGUCUGGAUGACAUGCUAAUUGCAAAAGAUGAAAUUUUUGGACCUGUUAUGCUUAUACUGAAAUUCAAAGGUUCUUUUCUGAAGAGACAGCUAAAUCAAUCAAAGGCUUGGCUAAGGGAUAAUCAAAUUGUCAGCUUAUUCUAGCUUUACCCAAUUUGAAUGUCGAAAGGUUGCCAAUGGUUCUAAGUCGCCGGAGCCAGGAAAUG
Ipomoea nil (Japanese morning glory) is the source of this 457-nucleotide long non-coding RNA. RefSeq lists it as uncharacterized. The record is from RefSeq and is a predicted model, not a curated record. NCBI's taxonomy places the organism in Eukaryota, Viridiplantae, Streptophyta, Magnoliopsida, Solanales, Convolvulaceae. The transcript is spliced from 5 exons.